RNAcentral lists this ribosomal RNA (497 nucleotides) under uncultured bacterium. Its description in RNAcentral is "partial 16S ribosomal RNA". It matches the Rfam family "Bacterial small subunit ribosomal RNA", at positions 28 to 507 of the family's 1533-position model. The record is from RNAcentral.
GAUGAACGCUGGCGGCGUGCCUAAUACAUGCAAGUCGAGCGAACAGACGAGGAGCUUGCUCCUCUGACGUUAGCGGCGGACGGGUGAGUAACACGUGGAUAACCUACCUAUAAGACGGGGAUAACUUCGGGAAACCGGAGCUAAUACCGGAUAAUAUAUUGAACCGCAUGGUUCAAUAGUGAAAGACGGUUUUGCUGUCACUUAUAGAUGGAUCCGCGCCGCAUUAGCUAGUUGGUAAGGUAACGGCUUACCAAGGCAACGAUGCGUAGCCGACCUGAGAGGGUGAUCGGCCACCCUGGAACUGAGACACGCUCAAGACUCCUACGGGAGGCAGCAGUAGGGAAUCUUCCGCAAUGGGCGAAAGCCUGACGGAGCAACGCCGCGUGAGUGAUGAAGGUCUUCGGAUCGUAAAACUCUGUUAUUAGGGAAGAACCAAUGUGUAAGUAACUAUGCCCGUCUUGACGGUACCUAAUCAGAAAGCCACGGCUAACUACGUG